UAUCACUGCUCAUCAUAACUGGCUGCUGCUUGUCAUCCACACAACACCAGGAUUUACAGGAAGUGGGACUGAUGUUAUCUUGAGCUCCUCACUUAUUUUGACCAUGAUUUACUUCAAGUGGAGGCAUUGUUUUUAAGGCAAAAAACAUUGUCAUAGUCUGCACUAUAGAAAAAAUGAAUGAUGGUAGGAGUCAAAUGAGAUGUUAAAGAAACCAAAGUCAACGAAGAAUCAUUUGCUGUUUUGAAGCUCAAGAUACCAAUUAGCAUUAUGGUUUGCAUAUGUAUACAUGUUUGUUCAUCAGGGCACCAGCUAAAGCUAUAUAACUCACCUGGCUUCAUUCCUUGCAAUGAUCCUUGAAGAAACUUCUUAAGUAUAAGGAAAAUAAGGUAAACAUUAAUGUCAUGAAGCAUGGCACUCAUCAAUAUUGUAUUCUUUCUUUUCCUUGAUUCUAAACAUUUUUAAGAUGGGUUAUUUCAGUCUCCUUACAUAAUAUGUACAAGGCUCAAAACAUGUUUGUGGAUUGUGGGCAUAUACCUUUAAAUAGAAUAUCAUGAUUUUAAAAGCAUCUAAG
RNAcentral lists this long non-coding RNA (571 nucleotides) under Oryctolagus cuniculus (rabbit). RNAcentral describes it as "lncRNA (ENSOCUG00000032903.1)". Lineage: Eukaryota; Metazoa; Chordata; Mammalia; Lagomorpha; Leporidae. The record is from RNAcentral.